This 816-nucleotide long non-coding RNA is filed under the name Brassica napus (rape). RNAcentral describes it as "long non-coding RNA (BNAP_LNC020289)". The record is from RNAcentral. Lineage: Eukaryota; Viridiplantae; Streptophyta; Magnoliopsida; Brassicales; Brassicaceae.
UGUUUGUCAAGAAAUCUUCUUAUUUUUACAUUUUAUUUUGGAGCGAAUUGGUCGCUAAAUCUUAUUUUUUGGAAUUUUAUGUUAGCGUCUAAUAUAUAAGUUUGGUAGAUGUAGAAAUAACUAAUGAAUAUUUUUUUAAUAAUGUAAAUGUUUAGAGGCCCGUAAGUAAAACUUUAAAACCAAAUCAUGCAAUUUGUGGUAGAAGGAAGUUAUUAUAGAAAUGGAAAAACGUAAAUGAAAGGUGAGUAAAUCAAGUGUCAUGAAGAGGAAGAUGCUUGCAGACUGAACAUGGUAAUUUGUGAACGGCUGUGGUAUCACAUAACAAAACGGAUGAUUUUAUCACUCUGUUUGUAAUGGAAUAAUUAGGACAUCUCUCAAGUAGGUUAUCGGUAUGGCAACGUCUUGGGGGUAUGACGAGAAUCAUGUUCUUUCCGUAGGCUUUCUCCCGGUUACCUUUGAUCAGAUCUCCGGUGGAACAUUUCCCUUUUCCCUUGUCUAUUUUUUUUUUAACAUGAACUUUUUUUUUUGUGAUCGUUCAGUGUAACAAUAAAAUGAUCCCUAAGUUCACAAAUGAUGGUUAUAAAUAGGAGGGAGCAUGAAGUAUAGCGAGUUGUCAGGAAAUUGAACAGCUUCUUUGUAAAGUUGGGGGUUUAAGGGCUGGGUUGGAAGGGUAACAGUUAUGAUAGAAAAAAGUUUCUGUAAACAGGUGUUGAACAACAGAUCAUGCUUUGGUCGUAUAGUUCAUUAGCAUUGCUUCGAUUGUAUACGGUAUUCUGAUUCCAACUGUACGAAGGCAUAGCCAAUUAUGUUUGAACC